GGCAAUGUAGCUCAGUGGUUAAAGCAUGGCCUGGGUUUGAGUCCUAGCUUUGCCA
This 55-nucleotide transfer RNA is filed under the name Loxodonta africana (African savanna elephant). It matches the Rfam family "tRNA". From Rfam's summary of the family: Transfer RNA (tRNA) molecules are approximately 80 nucleotides in length. Their secondary structure includes four short double-helical elements and three loops (D, anti-codon, and T loops). Further hydrogen bonds mediate the characteristic L-shaped molecular structure. tRNAs have two regions of fundamental functional importance: the anti-codon, which is responsible for specific mRNA codon recognition, and the 3' end, to which the tRNAs corresponding amino acid is attached (by aminoacyl-tRNA synthetases). tRNAs cope with the degeneracy of the genetic code in two manners: having more than one tRNA (with a specific anti-codon) for a particular amino acid; and 'wobble' base-pairing, i.e. permitting non-standard base-pairing at the 3rd anti-codon position. Lineage: Eukaryota; Metazoa; Chordata; Mammalia; Proboscidea; Elephantidae. The record is from Rfam by way of RNAcentral.